RNAcentral lists this ribosomal RNA (440 nucleotides) under uncultured bacterium. RNAcentral describes it as "partial 16S ribosomal RNA". It matches the Rfam family "Bacterial small subunit ribosomal RNA", at positions 338 to 795 of the family's 1533-position model. The record is from RNAcentral.
CCUACGGGAGGCAGCAGUAGGGAAUAUUGCUCAAUGGGGGAAACCCUGAAGCAGCAACGCCGCGUGGAGGAUGACGGCUUUAGGAUUGUAAACUCCUUUUGUUAGAGAAGAUUAUGACGGUAUCUAACGAAUAAGCACCGGCUAACGCCGUGCCAGCAGCCGCGGCAAUACGGAGGGUGCAAGCGUUAUACGGAAUCACUGGGCGUAAAGGGUGCGUAGGCGGGGUAAUAAGUCAGAUGUGAAAUCCUGUAGCUUAACUUCAGAACUGCAUUUGAAACUGUUACCCUGGAGUGUGGGAGCGGUAGGUGGAAUGCGUGGUGUAGCGGUGAAAUGCGUAGAGAUCAAGAAGAAUACUGAUUGCGAAGGCAGCCUACUGGAACACUACUGACGCUGAGGCACGAAAGCGUGGGGAGCAAACAGGAUUAGAUACCCCUGUAGUC